UGAGGAUUCUCCUGUUAUUGGCCGUUGUGCUGUUUGCUGUAACCAGCUCACUUCAUCUACAUCAUAGAUUUAGACCUAAGGUCCCAUACGAGAUCUGUUAUGGCGGAAUCUGCAGAUAUAGAUGCCCUAUUGGCUCAGCCAUAGUCCAUUGUCACCGAUUCUACUGCUGCACCAGAGUUAGACCCUAUAGAUCCAAGUUCAGGCGUAUCCAGACUCGUUAUCGUGCAGAAUUUAUGGAUGAUGAUGAAGACACAACCAUGAAGCUUUUAUGAUAACUAUGUCUUGUAUAACCUAAUGUGUAAUAAAAUGUGCACAUCUAUAACAAA
Molecule: long non-coding RNA, 326 nt
Organism: Bombina bombina (fire-bellied toad)
Lineage: Eukaryota; Metazoa; Chordata; Amphibia; Anura; Bombinatoridae
Exons: 2
Source: RefSeq, a predicted model, not a curated record